CGCGUAGGUGGUUGCGUCAGUCGGAUGUGAAAUCCCCAGGCUUAACCUGGGAACUGCAUCUGAUACUGCGUGACUCGAGUGCAGCAGAGGGAAACGGAAUUCCUGGUGUAGAGGUGAAAUUCGUAGAUAUCAGGAGGAACACCGGUGGCGAAGGCGGUUUCCUGGGCUGACACUGACACUGAGGCGCGAAAGCGUGGGUAGCAAACAGGAUUAGAUACCCUGGUAGUCCACGCUGUAAACGGUGAGUACUGGGUGUGGGAGGUGUAAUGCCUUCUGUGCCGAAGCUAACGCGUUAAGUACUCCGCCUGGGGAGUACGGCCGCAAGGUUGAA
Molecule: ribosomal RNA, 331 nt
Filed under: uncultured bacterium
Lineage: Bacteria
Description: bacterial SSU rRNA
Rfam family: Bacterial small subunit ribosomal RNA
Source: RNAcentral